CCUACGGGCGGCAGCAGUGGGGAAUAUUGCACAAUGGGCGAAAGCCUGAUGCAGCAACGCCGCGUGAGCGAUGAAGGCCUUCGGGUCGUAAAGCCCUGUCCUCAAGGAAGAUAAUGACGGUACUUGAGGAGGAAGCCCCGGCUAACUAAGUGCCAGCAUCCGCGGUAAUACGUAGGGGGCUAGCGUUAUCCGGAAUUACUGGGCGUAAAGGGUGCGUAGGUGGUUUGUUAAGUCAGAGGUGAAAGGCUACGGCUCAACCGUAGUAAGCAUUUGAAACUGGGAAACUUGAGUGCAAGAGAGGUGAGUGGAAUUCGUGGUGUAGCGGUGAAAUGCGUAGAGAUUAGGAGGAACACCAGUUGCGAAGGCGGCUCUCUGGACUGUAACUGACGCUGAGGCACGAAAGCGUGGGGAGCAAACAGGAUUAGAUACCCGGGUAGUC
This 439-nucleotide ribosomal RNA is filed under the name uncultured bacterium. Its description in RNAcentral is "partial 16S ribosomal RNA". It matches the Rfam family "Bacterial small subunit ribosomal RNA", at positions 338 to 795 of the family's 1533-position model. The record is from RNAcentral.